GACGUAGGUGGCGAACGUUAUCCGGAAUUAUUGGGCGUAAAGGAUGCGUAGAUGGUGUAGUAAGUUAUCGGUGGCAAAUCGAGGCUCAACCUCGUGGAAGUCGGUAAUACUGCUAUGCUAGAGGAUAGGAGAGGUUAACGGAACUCCCUGUGGAGCGGUGAAAUGCGUAGAUAUAGGGAAGAACACCAAUGAGGCGAAGGCAGUUAACUAUUCUAUUCCUGACAUUGAGGCAUGAAAGCGUGGGGAGCAAAACGG
Molecule: ribosomal RNA, 255 nt
Filed under: uncultured bacterium
Lineage: Bacteria
Description: partial 16S ribosomal RNA
Rfam family: Bacterial small subunit ribosomal RNA
Source: RNAcentral